This is a long non-coding RNA of Cyprinus carpio (common carp), 1274 nucleotides long. The record is from Ensembl. Lineage: Eukaryota; Metazoa; Chordata; Actinopteri; Cypriniformes; Cyprinidae.
CCCAUUUGGUACGAUAAUGCCAGAGUUAAGAUGUUUCCACUGGACACAGAUUAGGCAAAGUAUUCUGUAACGAGCUUGCAACUGCAGUAGGUUCAGUAGAAUCCAUGUGCAGAUGUUUAUUGAUAAUCAAACAGCAAACGGACAAAUCCAAACUUUAGGCAGGGAAUUGUGAUUAGGGUAAUGCAUAGGUUGAUAACACAAUGAGAAGACGGAACUCAAUCCAAUAAUCAUGAAACAAAGGCCGUAGAACUGGUAAUGCUUUGCUAUGAGGGAGUGCAGCAGCAUGGUUUACUGUAGAUGUCCACCUCUAUAACACUCAAAAUGUAACAUCUGAGCCCAAGGCUCAUUUCCCCAGUCACCAUAAGGAGUCAUCUUUCGGCUUCACAUCCACCAUUCACUUCCUGUUUGUUUCAAGGGCCUCCUUGCAUGAGCCAAAUCUGAGUUUAAACUGCUGUAGUUAAAAACUCAAAGGAGUGUGCACUUUUGUUGACAUAUUCUUUCUCUGUUGAUUUUAGGUGGAUAUUGCUUUAAGCCUGAGAAUGCAAAAGCUGCCCUAAGGCUUUUUGAGAUUGAAACAGUCUUGUCCAUGGAGCUGAGGGCAGAGAGACGAAGGGUACCUGUUUCUUCCAUAAAAACAGAGGAAGACUUGACCAAAAUUUUUGCCAGCCAUGGCUACGAUGAAAGACCAGAAAUGAAGAUUCCUGCGCAAAUCACUAAGAAAGCGGCCAGGACAGAGAAGUAUUAUUGACUGUCCACAAAUUCAGACUACAAGUCCACCUUUUAUUUAUUUUUUUAACACAUGAACAAGAGUUUGAUAUGGCUCUAUCCACUUAAGUCGUGACAUAUCAAAUACUGUUUCCAGCUCUAAACAUUUACUUUUUUUCAUGCAGGCCUACUGUUUAUUUAUAGCCAAGCUUCUAAAAAGUUACAAUGUGCAUUUGAGAUCUAAAAUAGUGUUUGGACCCAGAAACUAUGACGUGUGAUGUCAGACUUGACAAAUAACCAUCACAGUUGUUGAUAUAGAGCCAUAUUGGCCAGCAGCCAUAUCACCCUGUAGCCCAAGACUGGUUGCCUACUGAAGCUAAGCGGGGUUGAGCCUGGUCAGUACCUGGAUGGAAGACCUCCUGGGAAAACUAGGUUGCUCGGCAUCCUGGCCAAAUUCGCCCAUUGGCCUCUGACCAUCAUGGCCUCCUAAAAACUCCCCAUAUCUACUGAUUGGCUUCAUCACUGUCUCCUCUCCACCAAUAAACUGGUGUGUGGUAGGCGUUCUGGCA